CUUGUUGUUACCAUAUAUAUUACGUACUAUAUAUGCAUAUAUUAUAUAUGGUAACAUAUAUAAAUAUAGAGUUGAGCUAGAAUACUAUCGGUAGUAAACGAGCCGUUUUACUACCGAUUUGUUUUCGAUGAUAGAACUUCCAAAUUGACGAUCGGCUCCGUUGAAUAUGAUCUAUACCACUUGAAGUGUUUAGAAAUCAAAUUUCAAAUUUUUUCGACAUCAUUUACCUAAUGAUUAAAGGGUUUCAAAAUUUGUAAAUUUAAUGAUCGAUAAGAGGCGUUUUUUCGUUUAACGGCGUAAAGAUAUCCAAUCAAUUGAAUUUUUGUUAGAAAAUUCGUUAAACUGUUUAAAACAAGAUCUAUACUCUUGAUCUUGAUUACAAGACUCCUAUCAUCAUUUUUUAAAGAGUAUUCAUUUUCAGCUAUUUAUUUUUCUGUUCACUUGAUGGAUAAAAGAACAAUAUCGAAAGUGCGUAAAAUUUGAUUUCUAGGUAGUUUAAAUGGUUUAGAUAAUAUUUAAUGGAGCCGAUUGUCAAUUUGGAAGCUCUAUCAUCGAAAAAAAAGAAAACAGGGAGGAAAAGAAAGAAAAAGAAAAAAGAGGGAAAAAUUAUGAUGCUUAAUUGAUUCUCUAGGUGAAAUGUCACCUCAAUUGUCCUCUAUAUUAUAGUUUAUUUGUUGAUGAUUAAAGGUUUGAUUUUAAUUUGUUGUGAUGUUUUGAAGUAUAUAUUAAGGUGAGAAUAAUGUCGGUGCAUCGUCGUUUUCGGAUUAACAACUUUUAAUGUU
Molecule: long non-coding RNA, 782 nt
Filed under: Ananas comosus (pineapple)
Lineage: Eukaryota; Viridiplantae; Streptophyta; Magnoliopsida; Poales; Bromeliaceae
Description: long non-coding RNA (ACOM_LNC033869)
Source: RNAcentral